AAAGCCUGGGACACCAAAGAAGUCCUUAUGCAAAGCAUUUUAAGCCUCUCAGUUAUUUUUAAAGAAGUGGGAAAAUAUGACGAGAGCCUGAAUUUCCUUACGGCUGGUGAAGCUUUUCUUCUCAUGAUCCCCGAGUCUCAUCACAUCUGCUUCACUCAGUGUGGUUUAAUGAAGCAGUGUGUGCAUAGAUCUGUAUCUCCUAUGAGUCCUUCUUGCCAGAUGUCAAAUCCACUUCCCAAGACCCUGGAGAGCUAG
This 255-nucleotide long non-coding RNA is filed under the name Ursus maritimus (polar bear). RNAcentral's name for it is "lncRNA (ENSUMAG00000021932.1)". Lineage: Eukaryota; Metazoa; Chordata; Mammalia; Carnivora; Ursidae. The record is from RNAcentral.